UACAGAGGGUGCAAGCGUUAAUCGGAAUUACUGGGCGUAAAGCGUGCGUAGACGGUAGCGUAAGUCGGGUGUGAAAGCCCCGGGCUCAACCUGGGAAUUGCAUUCGAGACUGCUCUGCUAGGGUGCGGAAGAGGGAAGCGGAAUUUCCGGUGUAGCGGUGAAAUGCGUAGAUAUCGGAAGGAACACCAGUGGCGAAAGCGGCUUCCUGGUCCAGCACCGACGUCAGGCACGAAAGCGUGGGGGAGCAAACAGG
Molecule: ribosomal RNA, 253 nt
Filed under: uncultured bacterium
Lineage: Bacteria
Description: partial 16S ribosomal RNA
Rfam family: Bacterial small subunit ribosomal RNA
Source: RNAcentral